AAUCAAAAUUGCCAAAUUAGGAAAGUGAAAAGACAAGUGUUACAGACAUUAGAAUGAAAAUAGUUUACAUCACUUUAGUGUGUCUCACUGUCUUCUCUGUCUAUCUAAUAUGAUAUAUACUAUUACAACCAGAAAUAUACCAGCACAGAAAUCACAACUUGACUUAACAUUAAUGCAGCGGAAUUCGACUUUCUUUUUCACCUUCACCCGAGUCAUGACUGAACCGUGAUGUCUGGGUUGGUCUCCUUGGACAAUUUAAGAGGCGUAACUUUAGGUGCUUCAUUGCCCUGUUUGAUUUUGGUGGUGCGGUCCGUAGGUUUGCUGAUGUUGCGGCCCUGAGUCUGCUUGAUUGGACUUGAAGUAGCACUCCCGGGUUUGUAAGUGCCAAUGCUGUGACGUACCCGUGAACAAAGAGCCUUCUCGUUGACGGUUGGAUGAGGGGGGGCAUCACCACAACUCUUUCUCCUACUUAAAUUGGGUGACUUGGGACGGGUCAGAGGUCCUUGACGGUAAAAACUGGGAACGGGAUUUGCUUUGACAACCAUGCUCUUUCUGAGCUGUUUUAUAGCUUCUUCUUGCUCCUCCUGCCAUUAUCAUUUGUCAACAGUUUUACAAGACAGAACCCGAUAUUGGUUGACAAUAUUGUAA
RNAcentral lists this long non-coding RNA (648 nucleotides) under Helianthus annuus (common sunflower). Its description in RNAcentral is "sRNA HanXRQr2_Chr07g0289591". Lineage: Eukaryota; Viridiplantae; Streptophyta; Magnoliopsida; Asterales; Asteraceae. The record is from RNAcentral.